GGGCUUGUGGUUUAGUGGUAUAAUACUCCCUUAGCAUCUGAUGGCGCUCUUCUGAGAAGCCCAUGGAGAAAUUGGAAUUUGGGAGUGGUCCGGGGUUCGAUUCCCCGCGAGUCCA
Molecule: transfer RNA, 115 nt
Filed under: Xylaria grammica
Lineage: Eukaryota; Fungi; Ascomycota; Sordariomycetes; Xylariales; Xylariaceae
Description: tRNA-Ala
Rfam family: tRNA
About the family: Transfer RNA (tRNA) molecules are approximately 80 nucleotides in length. Their secondary structure includes four short double-helical elements and three loops (D, anti-codon, and T loops). Further hydrogen bonds mediate the characteristic L-shaped molecular structure. tRNAs have two regions of fundamental functional importance: the anti-codon, which is responsible for specific mRNA codon recognition, and the 3' end, to which the tRNAs corresponding amino acid is attached (by aminoacyl-tRNA synthetases). tRNAs cope with the degeneracy of the genetic code in two manners: having more than one tRNA (with a specific anti-codon) for a particular amino acid; and 'wobble' base-pairing, i.e. permitting non-standard base-pairing at the 3rd anti-codon position.
Source: RNAcentral